ACAAAGACAGGCAGCUACACAUGCAAGUCGAGCGGUAGCACAGAGAGCUUGCUCUCGGGUGACGAGCGGCGGACGGGUGAGUAAUGUCUGGGAAACUGCCUGAUGGAGGGGGAUAACUACUGGAAACGGUAGCUAAUACCGCAUAACGUCGCAAGACCAAAGAGGGGGACCUUCGGGCCUCUUGCCAUCAGAUGUGCCCAGAUGGGAUUAGCUAGUAGGUGGGGUAACGGCUCACCUAGGCGACGAUCCCUAGCUGGUCUGAGAGGAUGACCAGCCACACUGGAACUGAGACACGGUCCAGACUCCUACGGGAGGCAGCAGUGGGGAAUAUUGCACAAUGGGCGCAAGCCUGAUGCAGCCAUGCCGCGUGUAUGAAGAAGGCCUUCGGGUUGUAAAGUACUUUCAGCGGGGAGGAAGGUGCUGAGGUUAAUAACCUCAGCAAUUGACGUUACCCGCAGAAGAAGCACCGGCUAACUCCGUGCCAGCAGCCGCGGUAAUACGGAGGGUGCAAGCGUUAAUCGGAAUUACUGGGCGUAAAGCGCACGCAGGCGGUCUGUCAAGUCGGAUGUGAAAUCCCCGGGCUCAACCUGGGAACUGCAUUCGAAACUGGCAGGCUAGAGUCUUGUAGAGGGGGGUAGAAUUCCAGGUGUAGCGGUGAAAUGCGUAGAGAUCUGGAGGAAUACCGGUGGCGAAGGCGGCCCCCUGGACAAAGACUGACGCUCAGGUGCGAAAGCGUGGGGAGCAAACAGGAUUAGAUACCCUGGUAGUCCACGCCGUAACGAUGUCGACUUGGAGGUUGUGCCCUUGAGGCGUGGCUUCCGGAGCUAACGCGUUAAGUCGACCGCCUGGGGAGUACGGCCGCAAGGUUAAAACUCAAAUGAAUUGACGGGGGCCCGCACAAGCGGUGGAGCAUGUGGUUUAAUUCGAUGCAACGCGAAGAACCUUACCUACUCUUGACAUCCAGAGAACUUAGCAGAGAUGCUUUGGUGCCUUCGGGAACUCUGAGACAGGUGCUGCAUGGCUGUCGUCAGCUCGUGUUGUGAAAUGUUGGGUUAAGUCCCGCAACGAGCGCAACCCUUAUCCUUUGUUGCCAGCGGUCCGGCCGGGAACUCAAAGGAGACUGCCAGUGAUAAACUGGAGAAAAGGGUUGGGGGAAUGAAAGCUCUAGU
RNAcentral lists this ribosomal RNA (1169 nucleotides) under Enterobacter asburiae. Its description in RNAcentral is "bacterial SSU rRNA". It matches the Rfam family "Bacterial small subunit ribosomal RNA", at positions 36 to 1196 of the family's 1533-position model. The record is from RNAcentral. Lineage: Bacteria; Pseudomonadati; Pseudomonadota; Gammaproteobacteria; Enterobacterales; Enterobacteriaceae.